UUACGGGAGGCAGCAGUGAGGAAUAUUGGUCAAUGGGGGCAACCCUGAACCAGCCAUGCCGCGUGAAGGAAGACGGUUCUAAGAAUUGUAAACUUCUUUUGUACGGGGGUAAUUUUAUCUACGUGUAGGUAAUUGAAAGUACUGUACGAAUAAGCAUCGGCUAACUCCGUGCCAGCAGCCGCGGUAAUACGGAGGAUGCGAGCGUUAUCCGGAUUUAUUGGGUUUAAAGGGUGCGUAGGCGGAUUUAUAAGUCAGCGGUGAAAGACUGUCGCUCAACGAUAGCAUUGCCAUUGAUACUGUAGAUCUUGAGUACAUUUGAGGUAGGCGGAAUGUGUAGUGUAGCGGUGAAAUGCUUAGAUAUUACACAGGACACCAAUUGCGAAGGCAGCUUACUAAACUGUAACUGACGCUGAGGCACGAAAGCGUGGGGAUCAAACAGGAUUAGAUACCCUUGUAGUCC
Molecule: ribosomal RNA, 460 nt
Filed under: uncultured bacterium
Lineage: Bacteria
Description: bacterial SSU rRNA
Rfam family: Bacterial small subunit ribosomal RNA
Source: RNAcentral